This 786-nucleotide unclassified non-coding RNA is filed under the name uncultured bacterium. Its description in RNAcentral is "partial contains 16S ribosomal RNA, 16S-23S ribosomal RNA intergenic spacer, and 23S ribosomal RNA". The stretch from base 650 to 786 matches the Rfam family "Bacterial large subunit ribosomal RNA", at positions 1 to 136 of the family's 2925-position model. The record is from RNAcentral.
GGACACACACAGCGGGUGACUCCCAUAGGUCAACUGCAGGGGCCGCGAAUUCUUAGUGCCGUUCAAAGAAUCCUUCUUUUCUAAAAGAAGAACCCACACCCAGGGAGUAACACUUAUCGGUUGUCGCAAAGCAUUGAGGCUUAAGGAUUGAGGAGUGAGGCUCGCAUUACCCCUUGCUCCCAAUACCCGACCCCUCACGCUCUUGAGGGGUCUGUAGCUCAGUUGGUCAGAGCACACGCUUGAUAAGCGUGGGGUCGUUGGUUCAAAUCCAACCAGACCCACCAGUUUCGUGUCGGGGGUGUAGCUCAGUUGGGAGAGCGCCUGCUUUGCAAGCAGGAGGUCAUCGGUUCGAUCCCGUUCACCUCCACCAUUCCUCAGGACUGAAUUGUUGAGCGCUUCGUCGAGCGCUGAACAAUCGGCUCCUGGAGUCGAUCGGCUGUUUUUGCUCUUUAAAAAUCUGGAAGAAGUAAAGGUCUCGAUUCGGGGUGAUACCUGGGUGCAGUUCGGCUUGGGUGUUCAUGAGAAUCGAGAACUGGGUUUGAUUGUAUCGUUGCGUUCGAGGAGCACAAGAGGGCCUCGAAUGCGGCAAACACGAGUUCACCUGUAGCUUGAAGCUUCGGAUCAAAGGUCCGAGGGCUCAAAGUUAUAGGGUCAAGCGAACAAGUGCAUGUGGUGGAUGCCUUGGCGAUUACAGGCGAUGAAGGACGUGGUAGCCUGCGAUAAGUCUCGGGGAGCUAGCAAACAAGCUUUGAUCCGGGAAUGUCCGAAUGGGGAAACCCGGAAUCA